RNAcentral lists this ribosomal RNA (245 nucleotides) under uncultured bacterium. Its description in RNAcentral is "partial 16S ribosomal RNA". It matches the Rfam family "Bacterial small subunit ribosomal RNA", at positions 108 to 353 of the family's 1533-position model. The record is from RNAcentral.
GAGUAAUGUCUGGGAAACUGCCUGAUGGAGGGGGAGUAACUACUGGAAACGGUAGCUAAUACCGCAUAACGUCGCAAGACCAAAGAGGGGGACCUUCGGGCCUCUUGCCAUCAGAUGUGCCCAGAUGGGAUUAGCUAGUAGGUGGGGUAACGGCUCACCUAGGUGACGAUCCCUAGCUGGUCUGAGAGGAUGACCAGCCACACUGGAACUGAGACACGGUCCAGACUCCUACGGGAGGCAGCAUG